GACGAACGCUGGCGGCGCGCCUAAUACAUGCAAGUAGAACGCUGAAGGAGGAGCUUGCUUCUCUGGAUGAGUUGCGAACGGGUGAGUAACGCGUAGGUAACCUGCCUGGUAGCGGGGGAUAACUAUUGGAAACGAUAGCUAAUACCGCAUAAUAGUAGAUGUUGCAUGACAUUUGCUUAAAAGGUGCAAUUGCAUCACUACCAGAUGGACCUGCGUUGUAUUAGCUAGUUGGUGGGGUAACGGCUCACCAAGGCGACGAUACAUAGCCGACCUGAGAGGGGGAUCGGCCACACUGGGACUGAGACACGGCCCAGACUCCUACGGGAGGCAGCAGUAGGGAAUCUUCGGCAAUGGACGGAAGUCUGACCGAGCAACGCCGCGUGAGUGAAGAAGGUUUUCGGAUCGUAAAGCUCUGUUGUAAGAGAAGAACGAGUGUGAGAGUGGAAAGUUCACACUGUGACGGUAUCUUACCAGAAAGGGACGGCUAACUACGUG
This 495-nucleotide ribosomal RNA is filed under the name uncultured bacterium. RNAcentral describes it as "partial 16S ribosomal RNA". It matches the Rfam family "Bacterial small subunit ribosomal RNA", at positions 28 to 507 of the family's 1533-position model. The record is from RNAcentral.